CUACGGAGGGGGUUAGCGUUGUUCGGAAUUACUGGGCGUAAAGCGCACGUAGGCGGACUGGAAAGUUGGGGGUGAAAUCCCGGGGCUCAACCCCGGAACUGCCUCCAAAACUUCCAAUCUAGAGAUCGAGAGAGGUGAGUGGAAUUCCAAGUGUAGAGGUGAAAUUCGUAGAUAUUUGGAGGAACACCAGUGGCGAAGGCGGCUCACUGGCUCGAUACUGACGCUGAGGUGCGAAAGCGUGGGGAGCAAACAGGAUUAGAUACCCCAGUAGUCC
RNAcentral lists this ribosomal RNA (274 nucleotides) under uncultured bacterium. RNAcentral's name for it is "partial 16S ribosomal RNA". It matches the Rfam family "Bacterial small subunit ribosomal RNA", at positions 523 to 796 of the family's 1533-position model. The record is from RNAcentral.